UACGGGGGGGGGCAAGCGUUGUUCGGAAUUACUGGGCGUAAAGCGUGCGCAGACGGUUGCGUAAGUCAGAUGUGAAAGCCCCGGGCUCAACCUGGGAAUUGCAUUUGAGACUGAAUAGCUAGGGUGCGGAAGAGGGAAGCGGAAUUUCCGGUGUAGCGGUGAAAUGCGUAGAUAUCGGAAGGAACACCAGUGGCGAAAAGCGGCUUCCUGGUCCAGCACCGACGUUCAGGCACGAAAGCGUGGGGAGCAAACAGG
RNAcentral lists this ribosomal RNA (255 nucleotides) under uncultured bacterium. Its description in RNAcentral is "partial 16S ribosomal RNA". It matches the Rfam family "Bacterial small subunit ribosomal RNA", at positions 524 to 776 of the family's 1533-position model. The record is from RNAcentral.